Molecule: long non-coding RNA, 266 nt
Filed under: Lathyrus oleraceus (garden pea)
Lineage: Eukaryota; Viridiplantae; Streptophyta; Magnoliopsida; Fabales; Fabaceae
Description: Pisum sativum (pea) long non-coding RNA (PSAT_LNC000391)
Source: RNAcentral
CAAGCCCUAAGCAUUUUCAAAAUCUACCCGUGCACAAUAUUAUUAAAAAUCAACAAAAAAACAAGCACAUCAUAAGGAGCAUUCCACAAAAAAUCUCAUUCAAUUUGGACAAGUGGUUUAGGAGAUAUGAUUUUUUCAUGUGGAAGAAAAAACAAAAAAAAUGUAAUGAAGGCAUGGUGAAAUCAUGAAGCAUAUGAAAAAUUAAUUGGCAAGGCAAAAUGGAAAUGGCGCUACAGCGGGACUCGAAGGGAGGUCCACUUUUAAAA